This is a long non-coding RNA of Carassius carassius (crucian carp), 494 nucleotides long. RefSeq lists it as uncharacterized. The transcript is spliced from 2 exons. The record is from RefSeq and is a predicted model, not a curated record. Lineage: Eukaryota; Metazoa; Chordata; Actinopteri; Cypriniformes; Cyprinidae.
AAUCGCCCUGAUCCUUUUGCUGCAAUCCUUUAAAUACCUCAGACCAAGACAAACAUCCCCCGAGAUGAAGACAGAAACUAACUAUUGGAAUUUGCAUUAACUCAGGACCCUAGGAAAGGGCACUCCCAUCACAGUAAUCAAGAUAUCUCUUGACUCUUCGGAUCUGUAUUAUCUUCUAAUCUACUUUUGUAAGACUGAGACCAUUGUACCAGUUGCACUGAGACAUUUCCAAUGAUACUAGACAUGAAUGUUAGUUCACUUGCAUUGACAUUUUCAUGUAAUCAUUUUGAGCAGACUGAGUAGAAGGAAGAAUGGGUGAAGGGAUUUAAAAUGAAACAAAUGGCCAGAAGGGGAGGAGGUCUCCUGCUCCUCCACUCUGUGGGGUGUCUCGAAGAUGCCCGUGUAUGUUUGUAUUGUCUGUUUCUCAGGAGAUCAAAGUAUCUCAGGUUCUUUCAUCCUUACACCUUUAUUUGACUUGUUCCUAACAGUUACAU